RNAcentral lists this non-coding RNA (29 nucleotides) under Homo sapiens (human). Lineage: Eukaryota; Metazoa; Chordata; Mammalia; Primates; Hominidae. The record is from RNAcentral.
UACAUGACAGAGGGUGCACUGCAAAGGAU